GGCGACCAGAGAAGGAAAGCAUGGCGGGGAGGUCCCCCUGCAGAGGGACCAUUGACCUUGGAGGAGGUGGCCAUUGAGUUCUCUCGGGAGGAGUGGGCCUGCCUGGACCCUUCCCAGAGGGCCUUGUACAGGGACGUGAUGCUGGAGACCUGCAGGAACCUGCUCUCCCUGGGGGAGGAUGUCUUACUCCAGAAGUUGGGGGUCUGCCCUUGGAUAUCUUUGCAUUUUCCCUGUUUGCUUUUCACCUGCCUUGCUUAGUUGAGCUCAAAGCCCAGUGGACUCAGCUUAUAGAUAUCGCUCAUAUGGAUGUGACCAGGAAACUAAAGCCAAACACCGACAGAGGUGACGUAUUCCAAACACUGAUGCUGGGAAGACAUGAAAGCCAGGAAAUCAAACAUUCGUAUCAUCGGGAAAUUGAGGAAAAUACGUGUGACCAUGGUUGUCCGUGGAGAGGUGAUGAAAGAAAUUACAAAACUACCCCUACAUCCCCUGACCAAAAUGUCACUGAUAGAAGAUGUCACCAUUCAAGAAGGGAUACAAGACACAAGCAUGUUGGAAACAGACUUGUGUUAGGCUUUCAGGAUGAACGGACUAUGUUUCAAGAUGAACCAAAAAGUGAUGAAUUUAAUCAAGCCGAGAAGAGCAUCCACCGUAGGUCUCCUACUGCCCAGGCCAGCAUAUCUAACAUGGACAGGGGCGACUUUCUUCAGACAUCAGCACUGACACAGGUGCAGAGCACACACAGGGAAGGACCUCACACAUGUCACCAGUGUGGCAAAACCUUUCCCCGGGGCUCAAAUCUCAGGAGUCAGCAGAGAAUCCACAUGGCAGAGAAGUUACCCAAAUGCAAUGUAUGUCACAAGUUCUUCCGCUGAAAUUCAGACCUUGUAGUUCAUCGACGAAUUCAUACUGGCGAGAAACCUUAUAGGUGUAAUGUGUGUGGCAAGGCCUUUAGUUGGAAAGGAACUAUAUCAGCUCACUGGAGAAUUCAUACUGGCGAGAAACCUUACAAAUGUAACAAGUGUGGCAAGACCUUCCCUCUUGGCUCAUACCUCAGAAGACAUCAGCUCAUCUGCAUUCAAGGCAAAUUAUAUAAAUGUGACAAUUUACAUAAAUGUGACAACUGUGGCAAAGUCUAUCGUCAGAAUAUAUCCCUCAAACAUCAUCAGAGGAUUCAUACUGGAGAGAACCUUUACAAAUGCAGUCUGUGUGGGAAAACCUUUGUUUGUGGCACAGGCCUCAGGGCCCAUGAGGUCAGCCAUGCAGGAGCCAAACCAUAUAAAUGCGAUUUAUGCGGCAACGUCUUUGGUCGAAAUUCCUAUCUUAAGCGUCAUCAGAGAAUUCAUACCGGAGAGAAACCUUACAAAUGUCAUUUUUGUGAGAAAACCUUUGUUUUUAGUACAGGCCUCAGAAAACAUGAGAUAAUCCACACAGGGGCAAAACCAUAUAAAUGUGAUGUGUGUGGGAAAGUCUUCAGUCGCGAUUCAAUCCUUGCUCAUUAUCAGAGGAUUCAUACUGGAGAGAAACCUUACCAAUGGAGUGAGUGUGGUCUUUAGGAUGGAAGGAAACCUCACAGUUCAUCAGAGCAUUCAACCUUACAAGGUCUUUACUCAAAGUCCAACCCUUUCAAGUCAGAGAAAACAUUAUGGUGAGCAACCCAGUGGCGCUGCGGUUCGACCGGAGACGAAUAGAAGCUCUGGAUCGUGAUCCGCCUCACUCGCCAUCUGGCGCCUGGGAAAUCGUUGUCACUUGACCUACAGGAGCAUGUGGCGG
Phacochoerus africanus (Common warthog) is the source of this 1773-nucleotide long non-coding RNA. RefSeq lists it as uncharacterized. Lineage: Eukaryota; Metazoa; Chordata; Mammalia; Artiodactyla; Suidae. The transcript has 4 exons. The record is from RefSeq and is a predicted model, not a curated record.